Molecule: ribosomal RNA, 845 nt
Filed under: uncultured bacterium
Lineage: Bacteria
Description: bacterial SSU rRNA
Rfam family: Bacterial small subunit ribosomal RNA
Source: RNAcentral
AUGCAGUCGACGACCUUCGGGUUAGUGGCGGACGGGUGAGUAACGCGUGAGAAUCUGCCCUCAGGAGGGGGAUAACAGUUGGAAACGACUGCUAAUACCCCAUAUGCCGAGAGGUGAAACGAAUUUUGCCUGGGGAUGAGCUCGCGUCUGAUUAGCUUGUUGGUGGGGUAAAAGCCUACCAAGGCUUCGAUCAGUAGCUGGUCUGAGAGGACGAUCAGCCACACUGGGACUGAGAUACGGCCCAGACUCCUACGGGAGGCAGCAGUGGGGAAUUUUCCGCAAUGGGCGCAAGCCUGACGGAGCAACGCCGCGUGAGGGAUGAAGGCCUUUGGGCUGUAAACCUCUUUUCUCAAGGAAGAAGAUCUGACGGUACUUGAGGAAUAAGCCACGGCUAAUUCCGUGCCAGCAGCCGCGGUAAUACGGGAGUGGCAAGCGUUAUCCGGAAUUAUUGGGCGUAAAGCGUCCGCAGGCGGCCGUUUAAGUCUGUUGUUAAAUCGUGGAGCUCAACUCCAUCACGGCAAUGGAAACUGUUCGGCUUGAGUAUGGUAGGGGCAGAGGGAAUUUCCGGUGUAGCGGUGAAAUGCGUAGAUAUCGGGAAGAACACCAGUGGCAAAAGCGCUCUGCUGGGCCAUUACUGACGCUCAUGGACGAAAGCCAGGGGAGCGAAAGGGAUUAGAUACCCCUGUAGUCCUGGCCGUAAACGAUGAACACUAGAUGUUGGGGGAAUCGACCCCUCCGGUGUCGUAGCUAACGCGUUAAGUGUCCGCCUGGGGAGUACGCACGCAAGUGUGAAACUCAAAGGAAUUGACGGGGGCGCACAGCGGUGAGUAUGUGUUAUCGAUGCA